RNAcentral lists this long non-coding RNA (567 nucleotides) under Cyanistes caeruleus (blue tit). RNAcentral's name for it is "lncRNA (ENSCCEG00000001713.1)". The record is from RNAcentral. Lineage: Eukaryota; Metazoa; Chordata; Aves; Passeriformes; Paridae.
GCCAGCAGCAGCUCCAACUCAGGCCUGGGGCUGAAAGGACAAAACUAGAACUUUGGCAUGCCGUCACAAAUGGUUUGGCCAAACACGGGCCAGCCUGGAAAAUGCUGAGGGUGACUCCCUGUCUCUUGGCCUCAUCAGGUGUCUCUGCAGGGAGGAUGCUGCAUGAGGUGUGGGCUCAGCACUAGUCUCACCAGGGCUUGCAGUACUGAAGGACACCUCACAGGGACUCUGUUAGCAGGAGCUCAUACCAGGUACCACCACACAGAGCUGCAGUGUACACACAUAAAUAAAAAAGAAGGUUGUGCCAAAAUUCUUCAUGAACAGUUUGCAUUAUUUAAUGACAGUUUCUCCAAAUCAGAAAGAACUGAGCCAACUUAUGAGAUAAUAAAAAGCAGCCCCUACCUUCAGGGCACCCUGAGAAGGGUGGGGAUGAAGGAUAUUGCCAUGCAAAAUGUCCCAACAAAGACCAGCUUCUUGUUUGGAGCUGCAGGCUGGGAGGAGCAGUGCAUGGCCAGGUCCCUGCUGUUGCCCUUGCCUGCCUGCAGGAAAGUGUGUGGCUGCUGCUGA